CACCUGAUCCCUUCCCGAACUCAGAAGUGAAACCUCUUAGCGCUGAUGGUAGUGUGGGAUUACCCAUGUGAGAGUAAGUCAUCGCCAGCUC
RNAcentral lists this ribosomal RNA (91 nucleotides) under Acinetobacter baumannii. The record is from RNAcentral. RNAcentral also lists the same sequence under 1 other name. Lineage: Bacteria; Pseudomonadati; Pseudomonadota; Gammaproteobacteria; Moraxellales; Moraxellaceae.